This 497-nucleotide ribosomal RNA is filed under the name uncultured bacterium. RNAcentral's name for it is "partial 16S ribosomal RNA". It matches the Rfam family "Bacterial small subunit ribosomal RNA", at positions 28 to 507 of the family's 1533-position model. The record is from RNAcentral.
GAUGAACGCUGGCGGCGUGCCUAAUACAUGCAAGUCGAGCGAAAAGACGCGGAGCUUGCUCCUCUGACGUUAGCGGCGGACGGGUGAGUAACACGUGGAUAACCUACCUAUAAGACUGGGAUCACAUCGGGAAACCGGAGCUAAUACCGGAUAAUAUAUUGAACCGCAUGGUUCAAUAGUGAAAGACGGUUUUGCUGUCACUUAUAGAUGGUUCCGCGCCGCAUUAGCUAGUUGGUAAGGUAACGGCUUACCAAGGCAACGAUGCGUAGCCGACCUGAGAGGGUGAUCGGCCACACUGGAACUGAGACACGGUCCAGACUCCUACGGGAGGCAGCAGUAGGGAAUCUUCCGCAAUGGGCGAAAGCCUGACGGAGCAACGCCGCGUGAGUGAUGAAGGUCUUCGGAUCGUAAAACUCUGUUAUUAGGGAAGAACAAAUGUGUAAUUAACUAUGCACGUCUUGACGGUACCUAAUCAGAAAGCCCCGGCUAACUACGUG